GUUGCAUUGAGAUCAGUUUCUUCAUGUCUUUGCUGAAGAUAAAAUGCUUUUAAAGGAUUCAUCGUCCAGUCAAAUAAAGGAUCAUACAGCAGCACCUAAGAACAGGUUACAAAACUGCACGUGUAUACCUUGCAACCAGCUGCAGGAAAGUAAGAGAUUUUUGAAACUGACAAUAUCAAUUUUUGAAGUGUAGAAUAAGUCUCAGAAAAAAUGCCACUUUUAGAUAAUAGACAAACUGAGUGGAGGGAUGUGAUGGGAAUCUUGCUACUGAAGAGCAGAUACUGAAGGUGCUUUGAUUUCACAGUUGUUCUACCUUUCCACCCUACUGCACUUGGACAAAAAUGCUUGGGAUAAAAAGAAAGAAGUAUCCCUACAGAAUAAAUAUCAUCCUGUCUUCCUUCUCUGCAUCUCUGCUAUCUGCAAAGAAAUUCUUCUUUGAAAACAAUAGCAUCCACUGAAAGAUGCUUCAGCAUGAAUGGGAUCUGGAGGUGAAAAACAGAAACCAGUCCUGGAUGUAAUGCCAGUACAAUGCUAGUGACACUCACAUAUACAUCUACUGUUACUCAUACCUGGCAAAUUUUGUUUCUUCAAUGAACCUAACAAAACCCUCCAUGUAAUGGUGAAUUAGUGAAGACUAACCGGAGAAAACCCACAUGGAAAAAAGAAGAAUUUGCAAUAUUCACACAGACAAUAACCAGAUGGAAUUGAGCCUAAACUACUGAAACUUGUGAGGUGGCACAAUUAACCACUGUGUUAAGUCCUAAGCCAACCAAAAUUCAAAAGCUUGACAUUAACAGACAAUCCCAUAUGGAUGGCUAAUACAUAAAAAAUAAUAAAAAUAAAACAGUUCUUAAUUUUUAAAUUCAAAUAUUAAUUUAGAUUAUUCUUCUUGGUGAUACAAAAAUAAUGUGAUUGCUGUUGCUUUCUUUAUCAAUUCCUGCUGGGUGACAACUGAAAAAAUUAAUUAGAAAUUGAUAUUUUUAAAUGUUUGUGUGAAUUUACAUUCAUUCUAUACGCUUAUACAGUACAUGUCUACUUCACUGAUAUUUGCACUGAAUAUAAUUUACCAGCCAUCUUUACAUUAUAAUUUUUUUUAACUUUGAACGUGGACGGGGCAAAGACAUGGUAAUCAAUACUGCUGACGCACAACUCCUGAAGACUGGGUCAAGUGCUGUUUCUUUCCUGUUUAAUUUCCAGUGCUUUCAAAAAGUUUUUUCUCUGUACAAUCCUAAUAUGAACUACGCAGCAUCAGGAAAUGGACAGAUGAACAGACAUUUGUGUGUUAUGUUUAAGUCAGGGUCACUACUCUGGCUUCUGUUUAAAUUCCUUAUUUAUGUCCUUUCUGCUCAUUAUUCAGUUAUUUGGAUAUUAUUUAUGUUGAUGUUGUUAAUUAUGAAUUUUAUUUGCAUAAUGAUGUAUUUUUUGUUAUCAAUUUUGCUUAUUGCUUGGUUCCUAUGUGUGGAUGCUUUUUCUGCUAUGACCCUUUGUUUUUUGUUGGUGUUUCUCUUACCUGUCAGUCUCUCUUGAGGGACUAAGGGUCAUUUGAAGCCGUAAUUCUCUCCAAAGUACAUUGUAUGCACUUGGUGUUGGUGACUUCUCUUUACAUUUAUUGUAUAUCUUUGGAUUA
Long non-coding RNA from Polypterus senegalus (gray bichir), 1627 nucleotides. RefSeq lists it as uncharacterized. NCBI's taxonomy places the organism in Eukaryota, Metazoa, Chordata, Cladistia, Polypteriformes, Polypteridae. The transcript is spliced from 5 exons. The record is from RefSeq and is a predicted model, not a curated record.